Molecule: ribosomal RNA, 465 nt
Filed under: uncultured bacterium
Lineage: Bacteria
Description: bacterial SSU rRNA
Rfam family: Bacterial small subunit ribosomal RNA
Source: RNAcentral
CUGGCGGCGUGCGUAACACAUGCAAGUUGCGCGGUGAUCGUCAAGAAGUUUCGGACGGAAAGGGAGAGCAGCAGCGGACGGGUGAGUAAAGCACAAGGAACUUGUCCCGAAGAGGGGGACAACUGUGGGAAACCACAGCUAAUACCCCAUAAGCCGAGAGGUGAAAGCAGCGAUGCGCUUUAGGAGAGACUUGUGUCCUAUCAGGUAGUUGGUGAGGUAACGGCUCACCAAGCCGAAGACGGGUAGCCGGACUGAGAGGUUGUACGGCCACAUUGGAACUGAGAGACGGUCCAGACUCCUACGGGAGGCAGCAGUGGGGAAUAUUGGGCAAUGGGGGGCCAACCCUGACCCAGCGACGCCGCGUGAGGGAAGACAGCCUUCGGGUUGUAAACCUCUGUUGCAGGGGAAGAAGAAAGUGACGGUACCCUGCGAGGAAGCUCCGGCAAACUACGUGCCAGCCGCGGC